Long non-coding RNA from Asparagus officinalis (garden asparagus), 580 nucleotides. RefSeq lists it as uncharacterized. Lineage: Eukaryota; Viridiplantae; Streptophyta; Magnoliopsida; Asparagales; Asparagaceae. The record is from RefSeq and is a predicted model, not a curated record. The transcript is spliced from 3 exons.
UUGACAGGCUGGCGCUGCAGGUAUCGAGUGCCGAGGCAAUUAUUUCCAAGGGGAAGAGGGUAGCUGACGAGGACUUGCUGAGUCUAACCGAGCAAUUAAUGACGCAAAUGAUCAAAUUAGACGGCAUCACCGCAGAUGUGGACCUAAAGCUACAGAGAGGAUUGCAGGCGAGAAGAAUACGGAAGUACGUCGAAAAACUCGACGUGCUUAAGAUCAAAAACGCGAAGACCACGACGACGUCUAGAUCUUCGCAGCGACAGGAUCCGCAUCUGAAAACCCAACAGCAGCAGAAAUCGCAAGCGCCGCCUAUCGUGGUUACGACGGAGUGGGAGAUGUUUGAUUCCUUGGCCUCUACGUCCACAUCCAACUCUACAAGGCCAAAUUGGGACUUACUUUAAUUCGAGUAAAUAGUCAAUGUGUUAUCUAUAGAAUUUUAUUAAUUAGACAUCACGUUUGCUUGAGAGAGAGAGAGAGAGAGAGAGAGAGAGAGAGAGAGAUGGAGUUUUCUUUUGUUAUUUUUUUAUGCGUGAAGAUUUACCUAAAUUAGACCGAGGAAGGGGGGAAACGGAUAUGAUGACUC